Molecule: ribosomal RNA, 625 nt
Filed under: uncultured bacterium
Lineage: Bacteria
Description: bacterial SSU rRNA
Rfam family: Bacterial small subunit ribosomal RNA
Source: RNAcentral
UUGGUGGGGUAGUGGCCUACCAAGGCGACGACGGGUAGCCGGCCUGAGAGGGCGACCGGCCACACUGGGACUGAGACACGGCCCAGACUCCUACGGGAGGCAGCAGUGGGGAAUAUUGCGCAAUGGGCGAAAGCCUGACGCAGCGACGCCGCGUGAGGGAUGACGGCCUUCGGGUUGUAAACCUCUUUCAGCAGGGACGAAGCGCAAGUGACGGUACCUGCAGAAGAAGCACCGGCUAACUACGUGCCAGCAGCCGCGGUAAUACGUAGGGUGCGAGCGUUGUCCGGAAUUAUUGGGCGUAAAGAGCUCGUAGGCGGUUUGUCGCGUCGACUGUGAAAACCUACAGCUUAACUGUGGGCUUGCAGUCGAUACGGGCAGACUUGAGUUCGGUAGGGGAGACUGGAAUUCCUGGUGUAGCGGUGAAAUGCGCAGAUAUCAGGAGGAACACCGGUGGCGAAGGCGGGUCUCUGGGCCGAUACUGACGCUGAGGAGCGAAAGCGUGGGGAGCGAACAGGAUUAGAUACCCUGGUAGUCCACGCCGUAAACGGUGGGAACUAGGUGUGGGGGACUUCCACGUCCUCCGUGCCGUAGCUAACGCAUUAAGUUCCCCGCCUGGGGAGUACGG